RNAcentral lists this ribosomal RNA (495 nucleotides) under uncultured bacterium. RNAcentral's name for it is "partial 16S ribosomal RNA". It matches the Rfam family "Bacterial small subunit ribosomal RNA", at positions 28 to 507 of the family's 1533-position model. The record is from RNAcentral.
GACGAACGCUGGCGGCGUGCCUAAUACAUGCAAGUAGAACGCUGAAGGAGGAGCUUGCUUCUCUGGAUGAGUUGCGAACGGGUGAGUAACGCGUAGGUAACCUGCCUGGUAGCGGGGGAUAACUAUUGGAAACGAUAGCUAAUACCGCAUAACAGUAGAUAUCGCAUGAUAUCUACUUGAAAGGUGCAAUUGCAUCACUACCAGAUGGACCUGCGUUGUAUUAGCUAGUUGGUGAGGUAACGGCUCACCAAGGCGACGAUACAUAGCCGACCUGAGAGGGGGAUCGGCCACACUGGGACUGAGACACGGCCCAGACUCCUACGGGAGGCAGCAGUAGGGAAUCUUCGGCAAUGGACGGAAGUCUGACCGAGCAACGCCGCGUGAGUGAAGAAGGUUUUCGGAUCGUAAAGCUCUGUUGUAAGAGAAGAACGAGUGUGAGAGUGGAAAGUUCACACUGUGACGGUAGCUUACCAGAAAGGGACGGCUAACUACGUG